This 708-nucleotide ribosomal RNA is filed under the name Isoptericola sp. CUA-686. RNAcentral describes it as "bacterial SSU rRNA". It matches the Rfam family "Bacterial small subunit ribosomal RNA", at positions 62 to 780 of the family's 1533-position model. Lineage: Bacteria; Bacillati; Actinomycetota; Actinomycetes; Micrococcales; Promicromonosporaceae. The record is from RNAcentral.
UCGAACGGUGAAGCCCAGCUUGCUGGGUGGAUCAGUGGCGAACGGGUGAGUAACACGUGAGCAACCUGCCCUCCACUUCGGGAUAAGCCUUGGAAACGGGGUCUAAUACCGUAUAUGAACACGUGACGCAUGUCGUGUGUUGGAAAGUUUUUCGGUGGGGGAUGGGCUCGCGGCCUAUCAGCUUGUUGGUGGGGUAAUGGCCUACCAAGGCGUCGACGGGUAGCCGGCCUGAGAGGGCGACCGGCCACACUGGGACUGAGACACGGCCCAGACUCCUACGGGAGGCAGCAGUGGGGAAUAUUGCACAAUGGGCGAAAGCCUGAUGCAGCGACGCCGCGUGAGGGAUGACGGCCUUCGGGUUGUAAACCUCUUUCAGCAGGGAAGAAGGCCUUCGGGUGGACGGUACCUGCAGAAGAAGCGCCGGCUAACUACGUGCCAGCAGCCGCGGUAAUACGUAGGGCGCAAGCGUUGUCCGGAAUUAUUGGGCGUAAAGAGCUCGUAGGCGGUUUGUCGCGUCUGGUGUGAAAACCUCAGGCUCAACCUGGGGCGUGCAUCGGGUACGGGCAGACUAGAGUGCGGUAGGGGAGACUGGAAUUCCUGGUGUAGCGGUGGAAUGCGCAGAUAUCAGGAGGAACACCGAUGGCGAAGGCAGGUCUCUGGGCCGCAACUGACGCUGAGGAGCGAAAGCAUGGGGAGCGAACAGGAUUA